UUUAUACUCCCUCCGUCCGGAAAUACUUGUCCUAAAAAUGAAUAAAAUGGAUGCAUCUAUAACUAAAAUAAGUCUAGAUACAUGCAUUUCUAGGACAAGUAUUUCCGGACGGAGCUAAAUAACUU
This is a non-coding RNA of Hordeum vulgare subsp. vulgare (domesticated barley), 125 nucleotides long. The record is from Rfam. Lineage: Eukaryota; Viridiplantae; Streptophyta; Magnoliopsida; Poales; Poaceae.